This 253-nucleotide ribosomal RNA is filed under the name uncultured bacterium. RNAcentral's name for it is "partial 16S ribosomal RNA". It matches the Rfam family "Bacterial small subunit ribosomal RNA", at positions 524 to 776 of the family's 1533-position model. The record is from RNAcentral.
UACGUAGGGUGCGAGCGUUAAUCGGAAUUACUGGGCGUAAAGCGUGCGCAGGCGGCUUGUCAAGACAGGUGUGAAAUCCCCGGGCUCAACCUGGGAAUUGCGCUUGUAACUAGCAGGCUAGAGUGUGGCAGAGGGGGGUGGAAUUCCACGUGUAGCAGUGAAAUGCGUAGAUAUGUGGAGGAACACCGAUGGCGAAGGCAGCCCCCUGGGCUAACACUGACGCUCAGGCACGAAAGCGUGGGGAGCAAACAGG